GACGAACGCUGGCGGCGUGCUUAACACAUGCAAGUCGAACGGAAAGGCCCUGCUUUUGUGGGGUGCUCGAGUGGCGAACGGGUGAGUAACACGUGAGUAACCUGCCCUUGACUUUGGGAUAACUUCAGGAAACUGGGGCUAAUACCGGAUAGGAGCUCCUGCUGCAUGGUGGGGGUUGGAAAGUUUCGGCGGUUGGGGAUGGACUCGCGGCUUAUCAGCUUGUUGGUGGGGUAGUGGCUUACCAAGGCUUUGACGGGUAGCCGGUCUGAGAGGGUGACCGGCCACAUUGGGACUGAGAUACGGCCCAGACUCCUACGGGAGGCAGCAGUGGGGAAUAUUGCACAAUGGGCGGAAGCCUGAUGCAGCAACGCCGCGUGCGGGAUGACGGCCUUCGGGUUGUAAACCGCUUUCGCCUGUGACGAAGCGUGAGUGACGGUAAUGGGUAAAGAAGCACCGGCUAACUACGUGCCAGCAGCCGCGGUGAUACGUAGGGUGCGAGCGUUGUCCGGAUUUAUUGGGCGUAAAGGGCUCGUAGGUGGUUGAUCGCGUCGGAAGUGUAAUCUUGGGGCUUAACCCUGAGCGUGCUUUCGAUACGGGUUGACUUGAGGAAGGUAGGGGAGAAUGGAAUCCCUGGUGGAGCGGUGGAAUGCGCAGAUAUCAGGAGGAACACCAGUGGCGAAGGCGGUUCUCUGGGCCUUUCCUGACGCUGAGGAGCGAAAGCGUGGGGAGCGAACAGGCUUAGAUACCCUGGUAGUCCACGCUGUAAACGGUGGGUACUAGGUGUGGGGUCCAUUCCACGGGUUCCGUGCCGUAGCUAACGCUUUAAGUACCCCGCCUGGGGAGUACGGCCGCAAGGCUAAAACUCAAAGGAAUUGACGGGGCCCCGCACAAGCGGCGGAGCAUGCGGAUUAAUUCGAUGCAACGCGUAGAACCUUACCUGGGUUUGAUAUGGAUCGGGAGUGCUCAGAGAUGGGUGUGCCUCUUUUGGGGUCGGUUCACAGGUGGUGCAUGGCUGUCGUCAGCUCGUGUCGUGAGAUGUUGGGUUAAGUCCCGCAACGAGCGCAACCCUUGUUCACUGUUGCCAGCACGUUAUGGUGGGGACUCAGUGGAGACCGCCGGGGUCAACUCGGAGGAAGGUGGGGAUGACGUCAAGUCAUCAUGCCCCUUAUGUCCAGGGCUUCACGCAUGCUACAAUGGCUGGUACAGAGAGUGGCGAGCCUGUGAGGGUGAGCGAAUCUCGGAAAGCCGGUCUCAGUUCGGAUUGGGGUCUGCAACUCGACCUCAUGAAGUCGGAGUCGCUAGUAAUCGCAGAUCAGCAACGCUGCGGUGAAUACGUUCCCGGGGCU
Molecule: ribosomal RNA, 1346 nt
Filed under: uncultured bacterium
Lineage: Bacteria
Description: partial 16S ribosomal RNA
Rfam family: Bacterial small subunit ribosomal RNA
Source: RNAcentral